Molecule: transfer RNA, 75 nt
Filed under: Mariprofundus ferrooxydans
Lineage: Bacteria; Pseudomonadati; Pseudomonadota; Candidatius Mariprofundia; Mariprofundales; Mariprofundaceae
Also listed under: 18 other names
Description: tRNA-Thr
Rfam family: tRNA
About the family: Transfer RNA (tRNA) molecules are approximately 80 nucleotides in length. Their secondary structure includes four short double-helical elements and three loops (D, anti-codon, and T loops). Further hydrogen bonds mediate the characteristic L-shaped molecular structure. tRNAs have two regions of fundamental functional importance: the anti-codon, which is responsible for specific mRNA codon recognition, and the 3' end, to which the tRNAs corresponding amino acid is attached (by aminoacyl-tRNA synthetases). tRNAs cope with the degeneracy of the genetic code in two manners: having more than one tRNA (with a specific anti-codon) for a particular amino acid; and 'wobble' base-pairing, i.e. permitting non-standard base-pairing at the 3rd anti-codon position.
Source: RNAcentral
GCCCAGGUAGCUCAGGGGUAGAGCACAUCCUUGGUAAGGAUGAGGUCGCGGGUUCAAUUCCCGCCCUGGGCUCCA